Molecule: ribosomal RNA, 492 nt
Filed under: uncultured bacterium
Lineage: Bacteria
Description: partial 16S ribosomal RNA
Rfam family: Bacterial small subunit ribosomal RNA
Source: RNAcentral
AGUGAACGCUGGCGGUAGGCCUAACACAUGCAAGUCGAACGGCAGCACAGUAAGAGCUUGCUCUUACGGGUGGCGAGUGGCGGACGGGUGAGGAAUACAUCGGAAUCUACUUUUUCGUGGGGGAUAACGUAGGGAAACUUACGCUAAUACCGCAUACGACCUACGGGUGAAAGCAGGGGAUCUUCGGACCUUGCGCGAUUGAAUGAGCCGAUUUCGGAUUGGCUAGUUGGCGGGGUAAAGGCCCACCAAGGCGACGAUCCGUAGCUGGUCUGAGAGGAUGAUCAGCCACACUGGAACUGAGACACGGUCCAGACUCCUACGGGAGGCAGCAGUGGGGAAUAUUGGACAAUGGGCGCAAGCCUGAUCCAGCCAUACCGCGUGGGUGAAGAAGGCCUUCGGGUUGUAAAGCCCUUUUGUUGGGAAAGAAAAGCAGCAGGUUAAUACCCCGCUGUUCUGACGGUACCCAAAGAAUAAGCACCGGCUAACUUCGUG